GAAGAUGAUGAAAAUGAAGUAAAGUUGAAAGCUGGGAAUGGUACCUGGAAGUACUCUGGGCAGUAGGGCUAGCAGUAGGAGCUGAGGAGGUGGGAAGAGAGGGGAGAGAACAGGGGUGAGUAGAGGGGAGAGGACAGGGGUGAGUAGAAGGUAGAGGGCAGGGGUGAGUUAAGGCGAGAGGGCAUGGGGGACUAGAGGGGUGAGUAGAGGGGAGAGGAUAGGGAUGAGUAGAGGGGAGAGGACAGGGGUGAGUAGAAUGGAGAGGAUAGGGUCUAGUAGAGGGGUGAAUAGAGGGGAGAUGACAGAGGUGAGUAGAGGGGAGAGGACGGGUGAGUAGAGGGGAGAUGGCAGGGGUGAGUAGAGGGGAGAGGACAGAGGUGAGUAGAGGGGAGAGGACAGAGGUGAGUAGAAGGGAGAGGACAGGGGUGAGUAGAGGGGAGAUGGCAGGGGUGAGUAUAGGGGAGAUGGAAGGGGUUAGUAGAGGGGAGAUGGCAGGGUGUAUAGAGGGAUGAGUAGAGGGGAGAGAACAGGGGUCAGUAGAGGGCAGACACAGGACAGGGAUGAGUAGAGUGGUGAGUAGAUGGGAGAUAGCAGGCAUGAGUAGAGGGGAGACGACAGGGUUGAGUAUAGGGGAGAGUAGAGGGGAAAGGGCAGGGGUGAGUAGAGGGGAGAGGGCAGGCAUGAGUAGAGGGGACAGGACAGGGGUGAGGAGAAGGGAGAGGACGGGUGAGUAGAGGGGAGAGGACAGAGUUGAGUAGAGGGCAGAGGACAGGGGUGAGUAGAGGAGAGAGGACAGGGGAGAGGGCAGGGUUGAGUAGAGGGGUGAGUAGAGCGGAGGGGGCAGGGGUGAGUAAAGGGGAGAGAACAGGGCUGAC
Molecule: long non-coding RNA, 875 nt
Filed under: Homo sapiens (human)
Lineage: Eukaryota; Metazoa; Chordata; Mammalia; Primates; Hominidae
Description: HSALNT0060740
Source: RNAcentral